RNAcentral lists this long non-coding RNA (464 nucleotides) under Anser brachyrhynchus (Pink-footed goose). Its description in RNAcentral is "lncRNA (ENSABRG00000021558.1)". The record is from RNAcentral. Lineage: Eukaryota; Metazoa; Chordata; Aves; Anseriformes; Anatidae.
CCUUGCCCUCUUCCAUAUUGGCAGCCAUCACUAAUUGACUGUGAAAGUGGAGAAUUCAAUGGUUUAAGGUGAUCUCUUCUCUGAACUCCAAAACAGUUUGUGGAUGGAAAUCAGCUGAAGCAAAACAUUGGUUCAAUUACACUGUCAAGGGAUAUAGCUCCUGUACAACAAAGAGUGACCUUUCAGAGAAAAGAUGAAGCCAGCCUCAGGUUAACUCUGAAGGCCUCAGCUCAUCCAACUGAGAGCAGAUUAGCCCAGAUGGAGACAUUUUCAACACGGUUCUGUCUGACCAAUCAGCGACAGCUGGGAUUAGCCAAAUACCUUCUCUCAUCUGCUUGCUCACAGAAAGGGUUCUGUAAAAAGGUCUCAAUGUGAAAGAAUAUUGGGCUUUACAUGAAUUAUCUUAGUGAGGACCUCAUCCUGAUGGCUACUGAUGUUUUGCUGUUGAUUUUUCAAGCAAAGUG